This 1300-nucleotide long non-coding RNA is filed under the name Numida meleagris (helmeted guineafowl). RNAcentral describes it as "lncRNA (ENSNMEG00000020553.1)". Lineage: Eukaryota; Metazoa; Chordata; Aves; Galliformes; Numididae. The record is from RNAcentral.
UGAUUUCUUUGUGUAUCACCUUGUCGUCUUAGAGUAUUACAUAAUAAUGCAGCUCUCCAUGUCCUUUUCCCAGGACUGCCAGCUGAAAAUUCAUCUGAAAUGUGACUACAGCAGUGCAAAUGCUCAGCUUGUUGUUACAGUGUCCUAGGAAGAUCAUGUGCCAAGAGAAGAACAUGUAGAGCAGAACUGCUUUCCCUUCCUGUUCUCCCUGCAAGAUGCUGAGUGAGGAGGGUAAGGAGAAGACUUUGAAAGCAGAGAAACAGUACAGUGGUGAUCAAGAAUUAUGAUAAUGCCAAUCAGAGAGCAUCUAAUGGCAAUUAAUGUGGAUGGCACACAAAUGGCCAGAAACAAACAUACAGUAUAAAAGAAUGUUGAACAUAAUGAGAGAAAGAAAGGAAUGUGAAUCAGGGCUGGAAAAGACUGGGGUCCACCUCAAAAAAUGUCUGAAAUCUCAGAGCUUGAGUCACACUGUCUCCUUUACAUCCAUGUAUUACCUUUGCCAGAAGACGAGAAGAGAUGUAGAGGCCGUCAGUCCACGUCAAGUGCCACGCUAGAAGAAAAAAAGGAGGAAAAAAUACCAUUGCAUGUGAAUCCUUGUGGUAACUGAGGCACUCUUCUGCAAUGAGAGGAUUAACAUUGGUUCAUUUCACUGCUCAACUUGUUUUGAAGGAGAAAAAAGUCUUCCCUAGGAGACCAUGGAGAUAGUACCAAAACAGACAGAUAGAGGGACUCUCCUGCAUGCGUAGGCAAAGUAUAUAAUCAUCUUGUAUAAGACAUAUAUUUCUUUCCUCAAAAAUUAGUUGAGUCAAAAACCUUCGAUCAAUUAUAUGUUUUGCCAUUUAUAACUCAUAGAAUACUUUAUUAAUAUUACUUGCAUAAAGUUUACAUCAAUCGUGACCAUAAAGGAUAAACAUGUUUUUAUUAAAAUGUUGUCUUAAGUUUACCAAGGAUCUUGGUCUCUAUCUUGCAGGGACCUGCUUCUCGUACAUCUCAGCACACACCAGUGUUUCGUAUCACAGAUUUGUCGGCAUUGGAAGAUCUAAAGAUCAUCUAGUGCAACCCCUCUGCUAAAGCAGGUUCCCUAGAGUAGGUUGCAGAGGACCUCUAUCUUUUCUGUCUGCUUUCCUACUAGCACAGUAUGAUGUCCUUCAAAGAGAAACGCAAAGCUUUCUGUUUGUGCUUCCCCUUUUAGAUGACUUGAUCAUUUCAAGCUAGUUGAGAGUGGUUCCUUUUUUUUCCUCAUGAAAAUUUCUGAUCAUGAGGAAAAUAUACAAUAAAGUACUAUUCUGACCGCUGGCCA